Solanum lycopersicum (tomato) is the source of this 967-nucleotide non-coding RNA. NCBI's taxonomy places the organism in Eukaryota, Viridiplantae, Streptophyta, Magnoliopsida, Solanales, Solanaceae. The record is from RefSeq and is a predicted model, not a curated record.
ACGAGAAGCCCAUCAGCCCUUAAUUCAAUAACCCAACAAAUAUCCAAUACAAUCCAGCCCAUGUUCUUCUCCUUCUUUUAGAAAAAUGACUCGCAAGCAACGCCACAAAACCAGAAAAUGGCGAAACUCCAACUCGCAUCAGAGGCGAAACCAUCAAACAUCGUGUGUUCUCCUUAUCCUCUCGUACAGGCAUACUCGAACAGAGCAGGUGUCUCAAUCCUGUCGCUCGCUCCUCCUUACUCAUAAUCGGAUGGACUUGGUUCUCAAUCUAUUGAGAAUUCGUACGAAUUCCAGCUCCCUCUACCUUAUCCAUUAAGAGUUCUAAAUCGUGAGGCAUUCCCACAUCAUUUUCCCCCUCAAUUCCAACCCAGAAGUUGCCCUAUAUAAACCUUCUUCAUUCACUUUUUAGGGGAGGAUUUUUCAGAGAACAAAGAGUACCCAUAAAAUUUUGGGAUUUCUUGGUACCGUAGUUCAAAAUUUUAAAGAGUUUUGUGGCUUUUGAGUUGAAGAGGUGCAGUCGUCUUCACUCGUCGUUUUGGUUCUGCUGCCCAGAACCAGACUCCCCUCCUUGCAUUCCUUUCUCUUUGAGUCAACCUCCUUUAUGACGAUUGAAUGGAAACUAAUAUUAUUGGGUUAGACACCCAAAAGUACAGCAACAACAGCUCCAACGAGCUCAAAUGAGGAGCAAAAAUGGGUUGAACCCCAUACUUAACGAGGCAGCAGUACUAGCCUUGAAAAGGCUGAAAUUUAAUAAUUUUUUGGACUCCCCAAAAGUCCAAUAAGUGCAACAGUUUAUUACAGCAGCAAAAUUGGGGCUAAAAGUUAGGCGAAAAGACUAAUUUUCUCUUUAUAUUGUUUAUUCUUAUAUUGUUCGAUUUAGUUUCUCGUUUUCUCAUAUCAUUUUGUGUUGUAUUCAUUAACCUUCUUCUUAACUUAGAUAAAUCUUUGGAGGGAUUUUUAUUUCGUA